This is a non-coding RNA of Heterocephalus glaber (naked mole-rat), 1002 nucleotides long. NCBI's taxonomy places the organism in Eukaryota, Metazoa, Chordata, Mammalia, Rodentia, Bathyergidae. The record is from RefSeq and is a predicted model, not a curated record.
UCCAUAUAAUUGGCCUAGACAAGCUGGUCAACAUGUUUCCAUAAUAUGUAAAUCCACCUUUGACUCAUUUAAGACAACUAAUUACUAGAAAUGAGAAGCAUGGUGAUUUCCAAUAUAUCUGGAGAAGAAUAUUCUGGAUUUGUUUUUCAGAACAAAUAGUAACAUGUCAUGCAGCUAUAAAGAAAAUAAAAAAGGCAAAAAGAGCAUUUCUGCACAGCACUUCAAGAAAAAUCACAGAUCAAUCCACUGGGGUACACAUAGUUGGAAAUUUCACUUCAAAGUAUGGAAUUUAUGGCAUUUCAUGAUUUUGUCCUCCAUUUUGAAGGUAUUUGGGAUAAAAGGUGACAUAUGAAAAUAAAUUGAAGGCAAUUCAUCUUGAUAACUAUAUCCUUGAUUGUCCUGAAACAUGAAUUACAACAGUUAUAUAUUGAACUACCACCAUCCACAUGUAGAAGACUCCAGGACAAGGAACUAAGUCAAGCAAUCUAUGUAAAUUAUUUAUUUUAAUAGAAGAUUGCUUACAGCAGUGUCAACGUGGGUACCACUAGGAGAGAAGGACAGCAGCAGAAACUGCGGGAGAAUUGACCCAGUACAAGAUGAAAAGGACCUGUGCCCCGAACUGCGAGCUGUGAGUGGAAGAUAAUCACACAAAGUAGAGGAUAAAGUCACUUAGGAUUCACAGGAACUUCUGCUCUUGCCUUGAUGGCCUGAAAUGCACAAACCCACCAGGUCAUUAUUCAACAGUCACUGGAAAACAAAAGGAAAUGUAUUCCAGGACAAAGAGGCUGAGCAAGAGAGCCAAGAGACACACAACUUGGAGCGCACUUUCUUACUGCAGUGAAUUUGACAUACGUGAUGUGACCCUAUUACUGCACCGUAGAAUUCAAAAAUUUUUUUAAGUUGACAGAUAAUAAUUGUCUAUAUCUUUGGAUUCAGUGUGAUUUCUUGAUGUAUAUAAAGAUUGCAAAAACAUGCAUUCUAACUUUGUUUGAUGUAUUAAUC